This 224-nucleotide long non-coding RNA is filed under the name Ananas comosus (pineapple). RNAcentral's name for it is "long non-coding RNA (ACOM_LNC019955)". The record is from RNAcentral. Lineage: Eukaryota; Viridiplantae; Streptophyta; Magnoliopsida; Poales; Bromeliaceae.
UUUUAGUAAUAGAAAGUCAUUUCUAUUUCUUUUGAGGAGGUAGGAUGGAUUAAAUUUGGAAGUAAUUUGGAUUUUAGAGUUGAAAUUGGAUUUUCUUUGUAUUUUUUAUUCCCGAUAUUUUAGGCGGUGGUAUUGUUGGAUUUUGAAGUUUUUGUUGGAGUUUCUUGCUGGUUAGAGCAGUUAAGAGGUGUUCUUGGAGCUUUAUUUAUUCCGUUGUUGAAUUC